Fopius arisanus is the source of this 749-nucleotide long non-coding RNA. RefSeq lists it as uncharacterized. The record is from RefSeq and is a predicted model, not a curated record. The transcript is spliced from 2 exons. NCBI's taxonomy places the organism in Eukaryota, Metazoa, Arthropoda, Insecta, Hymenoptera, Braconidae.
UGCGUAGAAUCUUCUGAACAGUCAACUCCUCCGCGACAUUAAGCUUAAUGAUGAAAUUUUUAACCGCAGUGCUGGUAGUGAUGGCAGUGGCCUUUCUCCUGAUUGUUGAAUCUGAAGCUUGGAGGCAGUGCACCCAUGAUGGGCAGUGUUUGAUUCUUUGCUAUCGAGGGGUCCCCACGUGUAGGAACUCUUACUGCACAUGCUCCAAUUUCUGAAAAUAAUUUAACGAAGAUCAUUAAUUCUGUUGAAUGCUUCAUAGAAUUAAACCGAUAAGUCUUAUAAUCAUUUUUAUUACUCAGGUCGAUAUCAAGUUUUUAAAAAAUUAUCAUAUCGAAUUGUCAAGAAUUUAAUAGACUCUGUAGAAACCAGAAUAUUUUCAGUGAGUUAUAUCUUUCUUUAUUAUUCGACGAAAUAUUGAGAUUUAAACAGCUCUAGAUAAAAUUCGUUUUUUUUUUUUUCAUUCAGUUGUCAGUCAAUUUUUCUUUGUAAUAUUACGAAAAAUAGUUCAAAAGAAAUGGGAAAUGCCGAUUACAAUAAAUUAUAAUGAAAAAUCAACAUCUGGAGACAUUUUUCUGUCGAGAAUUAUGGAGUGACAAAAAAAGGUUGUUUUCGAAUUUUGAAAUUAAAUAAAAAUACGUUUUAAGGUUUUUAUAAGAAAUUUGUUUAUAUGGGCGUAAUUCUUUCCGGAAAGUCAAUCUCAUGGUGACAUUUCCGUUAUAAUGAAACCACAAUAAAGUUCUUCAGCAAUA